AUGAAUUGUCUAAGUUGGAAUUGCCGAGGGCUUGGGAACCCCGAGGCAGUUCGAGAGCUUCGCAAGGUAGUGAAGCAAGAAGGGCCUGCCUUAGUUUUUGUUAUGGAGACAAAGAUUAGGGUGAAGAGGGUGGAAGGUCUACAUCAUACUCUUGGUUUGGCGGGUUGUUUUGCAGUGGAUAGUGUUGGUCUCAGUGGUGGAGUUGGACUUUUU
Molecule: ribosomal RNA, 213 nt
Filed under: Triticum aestivum (bread wheat)
Lineage: Eukaryota; Viridiplantae; Streptophyta; Magnoliopsida; Poales; Poaceae
Description: partial small subunit ribosomal RNA
Source: RNAcentral